AGACUUAGCUUUCUUCUUGCUAGGUGCGGGAGCUGGAACUGCGGCUGGAGGAGAAGCCAAGGGAGCUGGUGGUGAGGUUGCUGGAGGAGGAGUUGCCGGUGGGGGAGUAGCAGGAGGAGGAGAAGCAGGUGGUGGAGAAGCCGGUGGAGGAGUGGCGGGAGGGGGAGAAGCCGGUGGUGGAGAGCUAACGGGUGGGGGAGUUGCUGGAGGAGGAGAGCUAGGUGGAGGAGUUGAAACUGGUGGUGGAGAAGCCGUCACUGGAGGUGGUGAUGAAGUAGGGGGAGGAGAAGAAGCCGGUGGCGGAGUGCUGGUUGGUGUAGGCGGUGGUUGAGUAGUCGGCGGAGGAGUAGAGGCUGGUGGCGUUGGAGGCGCCGGCGUGGAUGUAGGAGGAUUACUAGGAG
This 401-nucleotide long non-coding RNA is filed under the name Theobroma cacao (cacao). RNAcentral's name for it is "long non-coding RNA (TCAC_LNC000762)". The record is from RNAcentral. Lineage: Eukaryota; Viridiplantae; Streptophyta; Magnoliopsida; Malvales; Malvaceae.